GGAGGAGACCCGGCCCGGGGGGGGGCGUUCAAGGACCUCGGAGCCACCGGACGGCGUCUGUUGUCCCUGACAGGCAGAAAAGGAAAAGGAUGCUUCCAACCCCCCCCCUCCCGCAAAGGACUUAUAACCAUUGUGGCCAUCCCUGCUCUGCUCGGGGGUGUGUGUGUGCAAUCAUCCUAUCCGCGGCGGCAGCUGUGCGGGCCGGUCGCGCUGAGCGGAGGUCAAGGCCCGCGGCGCCGGGCCCUCCGUCCGUCCCUCCGUCCGUCCGUCCUUCCCUCCCUCCCUCUCGGCGGCCCUUCCAGGAGGCAGAGAGGUAAGAGCGCCGGGCUGGGCGGGAAGGGAAUCCCUCGCUCCCCGGGAACUGGAGCCCUUCCUCCAGCUGAGCAGGGGCUGCUGCCGACGUCACCGCCGCCGCCUCGCCCGGCCAGCCCGGCUCCCUUCCCACGUCGAAGGGAAGUCCGGGCGAGGAGCAUCACCGGCCCGCGGCCCUGGGCUGGCCUGCCUGCGGAGACCCGAGAGAGAGAGAGAGCGAGCGAGAGAGCCAAGAGGGGCCUUGGCAUCACUUCCGACCCCGCCGCCUCCGCCGCCGCCACCGAUAUGCUGGCAGACCUGCAGAUCUGGAAGGAUAAACCUUUCUUAUACGUGCUGAAUCUUUUUACGCUUCCAGAUGCACGUUGGGAUUCAUGGACAUAUUCCACUUUAUCGGUGUCCCUUACAAAUCUACUUUUGAAUGUCUGCUUUGAGAUCAGCUGCUCUGAAAUCAGUGACAUUGUGUCUGGUGAAACUGUUCUUGUGCUGCCUUUGUUACGUGAAGCAUUUCUGUGGUUAUAUUAGUGUCUGUUUCCUUGUCUAGAGAUGGUGUUGAGAGAAUUGGUCGUGCGUCUAUAUAGUAAUUGCUCCAGACAUCAUGUUGAAGCCAUAUUGUCUGAGGGGCUACAGUCGUGAUAGAAAUCAGAACAUUCAAAGGCACCAAAUUGAUGGGAACCCCCAAGACAGGGAUCAAAACAGAUGUGCUAAUUAGCACGUCCUCGUUAGGGGUAAACAUGCACAAACCCUCUGCAAAAUUGCCCUGGAGGCAGGCGCUUCCUUAACAGACAGGGAAAGUGAUGAGCGUGCAAGGAUCGCACACUGUGAUUUUGACACCCGGUUUCUGAGCACAGCUCUCACCAUUGGCAUCGCUUGUCUUGGUUUAAAUAUCUGCAUUGCCUAAUUGACUGGAAGACAAAGCUUGGGAAAAACCUUCGGACAGCGCCUUCAGCCAGCAUGGCUGCUGCCCACACAGGCCAGGGAACUCGACGAGGUGCAGUUCAAAAAAGUAACUUCUCUGAGUUCCACUUCAAUGUUGAGUUUCGACAGUGGGUCAGGAAUCCCAGGGGAGCCCCCCUCCCUCCUGUUCUCCUCCUGCUCUUCUCCUCCCUGAUCUUUCGCAGAAAGAGGGACUAGCCGGGUCAGAUAAGUGGAUAGUUGGAGCUUCUGAAGGCAGCCCACCGGUGCCGUCGCCCCUCCUGGAUGAACGGGUGGCUGUUUUCACCCUCCGUGAGCUGGCUUUUGCGCUGCUUGAACAUUUCAGUGCGUUUCUUCAUGCAGAUGAGUUUGGAGAGAAAAUACAUUUAAAAAGGCAUAUGCAUGUGUCUGUCUGUCUCGCUCUCUUUGUGUGUGUGCGUGUGUGUGUGUGAGAGAGAGAGAGCAUGUGGGAGGGAGAGGGAGGAUGAGAGAAAUAAGUUUAGAAGCAUGCGUUUU
Molecule: long non-coding RNA, 1740 nt
Organism: Pogona vitticeps (central bearded dragon)
Lineage: Eukaryota; Metazoa; Chordata; Lepidosauria; Squamata; Agamidae
Source: Ensembl